RNAcentral lists this ribosomal RNA (490 nucleotides) under uncultured bacterium. Its description in RNAcentral is "partial 16S ribosomal RNA". It matches the Rfam family "Bacterial small subunit ribosomal RNA", at positions 30 to 507 of the family's 1533-position model. The record is from RNAcentral.
AUUGAACGCUGGCGGCAGGCCUAACACAUGCAAGUCGAACGGUAACAGGAAGCAGCUUGCUGCUUUGCUGACGAGUGGCGGACGGGUGAGUAAUGUCUGGGAAACUGCCUGAUGGAGGGGGAUAACUACUGGAAACGGUAGCUAGUACCGCAUAACGUCGCAAGCCCAAAGAGGGGGACCUUCGGGCCUCUUGCCAUCGGAUGUGCCCAGAUGGGAUUAGCUAGUAGGUGGGGUAACGGCUCACCUAGGCGACGAUCCCUAGCUGGUCUGAGAGGAUGCCCAGCCACACUGGAACUGAGACACGGUCCAGACUCCUACGGGAGGCAGCAGUGGGGAAUAUUGCACAAUGGGCGCAAGCCUGAUGCAGCCAUGCCGCGUGUAUGAAGAAGGCCUUCGGGUUGUAAAGUACUUUCAGCGGGGAGGAAGGGAGUAAAGUUAAUACCUUUGCUCAUUGACGUUACCCGCAGAAGAAGCACCGGCUAACUCCGUG